UACGUAGGUGGCAAGCGUUAUCCGGAUUUAUUGGGCGUAAAGGGAACGCAGGCGGUCUUUUAAGUCUGAUGUGAAAGCCUUCGGCUUAACCGGAGUAGUGCAUUGGACACUGGGAGACUUGAGUGCAGAAGAGGAGAGUGGAACUCCAUGUGUAGCGGUGAAAUGCGUAGAUAUAUGGAGGAACACCAGUGGCGAAAGCGGCUCUCUGGUCUGUAACUGACGCUGAGGUUCGAAAGCGUGGGUAGCAAACAGG
RNAcentral lists this ribosomal RNA (253 nucleotides) under uncultured bacterium. RNAcentral's name for it is "partial 16S ribosomal RNA". It matches the Rfam family "Bacterial small subunit ribosomal RNA", at positions 524 to 776 of the family's 1533-position model. The record is from RNAcentral.